RNAcentral lists this unclassified non-coding RNA (329 nucleotides) under soil metagenome. RNAcentral describes it as "partial contains 5.8S ribosomal RNA, internal transcribed spacer 2, and large subunit ribosomal RNA". The stretch from base 1 to 120 matches the Rfam family "5.8S ribosomal RNA", at positions 35 to 154 of the family's 154-position model. The record is from RNAcentral.
GAUGAAGAACGCAGUGAAAUGCGAUAAGUAGUGUGAAUUGCAGAAUUCAGUGAAUCAUCGAAUCUUUGAACGCACAUUGCGCCCCUUGGUAUCCCGAGGGGCAUGCCUGUUCGAGCGUCAUUUCACCACUCAAGCCUGGCUUGGUGUUGGGCGACGUCCCCUUUGGGGACGCGCCUCGAAACGCUCGGCGGCGUGGCACCGGCUUUAAGCGUAGCAGAAUCUUUCGCUUUGGAAGUCGGGGCCCCGUCUGCCGGAAGAACUACUCGCAAGGUUGACCUCGGAUCAGGCAGGGAUACCCGCUGAACUUAAGCAUAUCAAUAAGCGGAGGA